GGGGGAAUUGUUCGCAAUGGGCGCAAGCCUGACGACGCAACGCCGCGUGGGGGAUGAAGGUCCUCGGAUUGUAAACCCCUGUCGAGCGGGACGAACGGCCCGCGACCUAACACGUCGUGGGAGUGACGGUACCGCCAAAGGAAGCCACGGCUCAAUCUGUGCCAGCCGCCGCGGUAAUACAGAGGUGGCAAGCGUUGUUCGGAAUUACUGGGCGUAAAGGGCGCGUAGGCGGCUGUCUAAGUCAGACGUGAAAUCCCCCGGCUCAACCUGGGAACUGCGUCUGAUACUGGGCGGCUUGAAUGCGGGAGAGGGAUGUAGAAUUCCAGGUGUAGCGGUGAAAUGCGUAGAUAUCUGGAGGAAUACCGGUGGCGAAGGCGGCAUCCUGGACCGACAUUGACGCUGAGGCGCGAAAGCUAGGGUAGCAA
This 425-nucleotide ribosomal RNA is filed under the name uncultured bacterium. Its description in RNAcentral is "bacterial SSU rRNA". It matches the Rfam family "Bacterial small subunit ribosomal RNA", at positions 355 to 771 of the family's 1533-position model. The record is from RNAcentral.